This 250-nucleotide ribosomal RNA is filed under the name uncultured bacterium. RNAcentral describes it as "partial 16S ribosomal RNA". It matches the Rfam family "Bacterial small subunit ribosomal RNA", at positions 524 to 773 of the family's 1533-position model. The record is from RNAcentral. RNAcentral also lists the same sequence under 1 other name.
UACGUAGGGAGCGAGCGUUGUCCGGAAUUACUGGGCGUAAAGGGCGUGUAGGCGGUCAAUCAAGUCAGGUGUGAAAUUCCAAGGCUCAACCCUGGACGUGCACUUGAAACUGGUUGACUUGAGUGCAGGAGAGGAAAGUGGAAUUCCCAGUGUAGCGGUGAAAUGCGUAGAUAUUGGGAGGAACACCAGUGGCGAAGGCGACUUUCUGGCCUGUAACUGACGCUGAGGCGCGAAAGCUAGGGGAGCAAAC